RNAcentral lists this transfer RNA (88 nucleotides) under Methylocella sp. RNAcentral's name for it is "tRNA-Tyr". It matches the Rfam family "tRNA". Rfam says of the family: Transfer RNA (tRNA) molecules are approximately 80 nucleotides in length. Lineage: Bacteria; Pseudomonadati; Pseudomonadota; Alphaproteobacteria; Hyphomicrobiales; Beijerinckiaceae. RNAcentral also lists the same sequence under 4 other names. The record is from RNAcentral.
GGGUCGGUGGUCGAGUGGUUAAUGGCACCGGACUGUAAAUUCGGCUCGCGAAAGCGAUACGCUGGUUCAAAUCCAGCCCGGCCCACCA